GGUGUGUUUAGUGUUGCUCAGUCUCUAAUUUUCUAAGUAGUUUUUGGUGUAUUAUUGUUUGUGGUGUUUUCUUUUCUAGUCAUGAAUUUGUAAAUUUAUUUUCGACUCAUGGGUUUGAGAGUCCCUUUGCCUUCAUUUCCUAUCAUUAUUUUCUUGAUAGAGGGUUGCUGCUCACAAGGAAGCUAUUAAACCAAGAGUUCCAAAUGGUGAAGUUGAAAUCAUCCCUUCGUUAAUUUUACGGACACCAUCACGAGUUGGUUGACCGUUAUGGAAUAACCGUUUCACAAAUGAUAUCGGAUAUGUUCCUAACGUCGUAACUGCAAUCCCCUUCCCUUUCAUGAAUGUGACCUACCGAAUUAGACUAUUUACCGGAUUUGUUAACAAAUAAGCAACACGACGAGUGCCACAUGUGAAGCAGGAUCUGCUUAUCCUUCCGGAGCACCUGAGAUCACCCCUAGUUUUUGGUGGGGUUCGUGUUGUUUAUUCUUUAGUUUUCUAUGUUGCGUCAUGUGUACUAUUGUUUGUCUGUUUGUCUUUUUCAUUUUUAGCCAUGGCGUUGUCAGUUUAUUUUCGAUUUAUGAGUUUGACUGUUCUUCUGGUAUCUUUCGUCCCUUUUUGGUAUCUUUCGCCUCUUUUCUACAAAUUCUAAUUUGUCUUCGUCUAAUUUUCUCAAUGCUUUCUUUGCUUUCUGAUCAUAUUUUCAAAAUGUAUCUACCUAAGAUAGUGUUGUAACUGUAUUUAACAGCCUCAGUUUAUGUAUGAGAAGUGUUUUGUCUCGACCUGUUCAAGGAAUAUCCUUUUAUUCGUU
This 808-nucleotide long non-coding RNA is filed under the name Mytilus galloprovincialis (Mediterranean mussel). The record is from RNAcentral. Lineage: Eukaryota; Metazoa; Mollusca; Bivalvia; Mytilida; Mytilidae.